AGUGAACGCUGGCGGUAGGCCUAACACAUGCAAGUCGAACGGCAGCACAGUAAGAGCUUGCUCUUACGGGUGGCGAGUGGCGGACGGGUGAGGAAUACAUCGGAAUCUACUUUUUCGUGGGGGAUAACGUAGGGAAACUUACGCUAAUACCGCAUACGACCUACGGGUGAAAGCAGGGGAUCUUCGGACCUUGCGCGAUUGAAUGAGCCGAUGUCGGUUUAGCUAGUUGGCGGGGUAAAGGCCCACCAAGGCGACGAUCCGUAGCUGGUCUGAGAGGAUGAUCAGCCACACUAGAACUGAGACACGGUCCAGACUCCUACGGGAGGCAGCAGUGGGGAAUAUUAGACAAUGGGCGCAAGCCUGAUCCAGCCAUACCGCGUGUGUGAAGAAGGCCUUCGGGUUGUAAAGCCCUUUUGUUGGGAAAGAAAAGCAGCAGGUUAAUACCCCGCUGUUCUGACGGUACCCAAAGAAUAAGCACCGGCUAACUUCGUG
Molecule: ribosomal RNA, 492 nt
Filed under: uncultured bacterium
Lineage: Bacteria
Description: partial 16S ribosomal RNA
Rfam family: Bacterial small subunit ribosomal RNA
Source: RNAcentral